Molecule: ribosomal RNA, 425 nt
Filed under: uncultured bacterium
Lineage: Bacteria
Description: bacterial SSU rRNA
Rfam family: Bacterial small subunit ribosomal RNA
Source: RNAcentral
AGUGAACGCUGGCGGCAGGCCUAAUACAUGCAAGUCGAACGGCGGCACAGCAGAGCUUGCUCUGUGGUGGCGAGUGGCGGACGGGUGAGGAAUACGUGGGAAUCUGCCCAGUCGUGGGGGAUAACGUAGGGAAACUUACGCUAAUACCGCAUGCGCCCUUCGGGGAAAGCCGGGGACCUUCGGGCCUGGCGCGAUUGGAUGAGCCCACGUCGGAUUAGCUAGUUGGCGGGGUAAAGGCCCACCAAGGCGACGAUCCGUAGCUGGUCUGAGAGGAUGAUCAGCCACACUGGAACUGAGACACGGUCCAGACUCCUACGGGAGGCAGCAGUAGGGAAUAUUGGACAAUGGGCGCAAGCCUGAUCCAGCCAUGCCGCGUGAGUGAAGAAGGCCCUCGGGUUGUAAAGCUCUUUUGUCCGAAGAAAGAA